ACUUAAUCAUGCACCACGAACAUAUUGAUGAAAGCUUGCUGCCGUAGCAUAACACCUAAAAACGGCAUAAAAUUCGCAUAAAACGAGGCGGUUUUUAGUACGUAGGCAUCUCUGGGGGGAGGAUAUCCACCCCAAUGAUGAAUCGUGCAUGCACACUCACAUAGGCCAAACAAGAACUACCGGCCGAGUGUGUAUCUUUUGAGAUUUUACGACCUUAGCGAC
Non-coding RNA from Drosophila ananassae, 222 nucleotides. Lineage: Eukaryota; Metazoa; Arthropoda; Insecta; Diptera; Drosophilidae. The record is from Rfam.